GAAGCUCUAGCAAAAAUACAGUCUCUCAUCAUCACCAUUCCUCCAAACACACACACACACACACACACACACACACACACACACACUCUAAACUUCAGCUUUCCUUUGUUCUGUUCUAUCAGGACCUUACUGGUGACUGCUUAGCUAAACCACACAUCUCCAACGUUUUCUGCUCUAUUCCAUCCCCGCUCAUCUGUGAAAAUGGCAGCAAACACUUCCUUAUGAGAAUGUGGUGAAAAUGGAUUAUGUGGUUGGUGCAUUUGGAAUUCCGCAAAGGAAAUGGGCUGCAAAUCCAGAUCUCAUCACAGGGAGACCAGAGAGACAGCAGUUCAGCAGAGUCAGCUGAGAUGACUGUUUAUCACAUGCUGAGAGGACUGUCAGUUUGGCCAGAGCCACCAACAGACCAUUCACCUUUAAACCUGAGAAGUCAUCAACCCUGCUGGAAAUGAUCAUUUCAGGAAAGCAUGAAAGGCUCCUCUGGGGUCUGAGAUGAGACCUGAAAUGGAAAUACUAGAAAAGACAAGAAGAUGACCCCACCUAAACCUGACAAGAGUUGUCCGACUUCCAGGCUGUCAGAAGAGCUCUUAAGGGUUAUCAACUUUGGGGUGCUAUACAAACAUAAGCAUUUUUCGCUCCCAGUUUCAUUGUUUGUCACUCUGAAAAGGUAUGUCCAUCUCAACAAGGUUUGGGACACUUGACAGAAUGUGGAAACCCAUUAUCAGCUGAGGCCCCCGUGCCCUUUGAUAUCCAGGUAUGAUGGGUUGGGAACUCUAUUCCACACUCCAUGGUCAGUCAAGGAUUUCCUUUUACAUUUCUAUGAAUUCUAAAGAGUUAGGGGAUAAUUAUUUUGGAUUUGAGGGCUUCUUCACCUAAUUAUUCAGUUAUGUGCAUCCAUAUAUGUGACCGUGUUGACCUAGAUGUACAACCGAGCCAUUCCUUAAUCCAUAACAAUCUGCUCUCACAGGCAAAUUUGUGAGCAGCAGACACAUCAAAAGUCUUGAGGAGGCCAAAGUGGGGUUUCACUGGAGCAGGUAACUGUGUCCAACUAAUUAUUAGGUAGCCUCCUUCUAAUCAUUUUGCCCUCCUUCACGGACCCUUGUCUUCCACCACCACCCACCCCCCAAGGCAUUUUUUCAGGACUUCUUUAUUCCAUAUACUGCCUACAGCCUCACAUUAUCUUAUAAGCCUCUGUGCCUUUCCACACUCAGGAAACCUACCCAUUUUUCUCUCCCUCUAUUAAUCAGAGCAGUUCCAUUCUCUUUGACCCUUAUCGCCCAACUCAGCUCUGGUUCUCACCUUGGCAAAUCCAAAUCACACCCAAUAUUCAAUGGGGGAAGAAAAA
This is a long non-coding RNA of Vulpes vulpes (red fox), 1342 nucleotides long. NCBI's taxonomy places the organism in Eukaryota, Metazoa, Chordata, Mammalia, Carnivora, Canidae. The record is from Ensembl.